CAAACUGUUUGCAAACAAACAUGUUUGCUAUGGGAAAGAUAAGAGAGUCACGUGAGGCUACUUGAGAGAGAAAGACAAAGAGUAUGGCAGACAGUGGAUUUGGUCAGGUCAAAGUUCGCAAUAUUGGUGAAUACGCGGUAAAAAACUUUCGAUUCUCCUCUCUCUUCAAUUCGAUUGGUCGAUUUGCCACCAAAUAUCGGGCGACCUAUGUGAACUGUAAGAAUGCCCGAAUGACGCCAUUCUUCCAUGUGGUGGGCGUUGCCAUGGCGCUCAACUAUCUCAUUGACUACAAGUAUCACUUGAAGCACGAGAAACUACGCAAGUACCACUGAACCCAACGACCCCACUGUGUAGUGUCUAGUAUUUGUGGCAACCAGAGUCAUUGUUCAUAGUCUGUUGUUAAUAAAUUGUUGAUUGUGUCGAAAAUAAUGAUUUGCAUAUGAAAACAGCAUAAAAUUAAUUGUGAUUGA
Molecule: long non-coding RNA, 470 nt
Organism: Halichondria panicea
Lineage: Eukaryota; Metazoa; Porifera; Demospongiae; Suberitida; Halichondriidae
Exons: 2
Source: RefSeq, a predicted model, not a curated record